UACGGGGGGGGCAAGCGUUGUUCGGAAUUACUGGGCGUAAAGGGUUCGUAGGUGGCCAACUAAGUCAGACGUGAAAUCCCUCAGCUUAACUGGGGAACUGCGUCUGAUACUGGUUGGCUUGAGUGCAGGAGAGGAACGCGGAAUUCCAGGUGUAGCGGUGAAAUGCGUAGAGAUGUGGAGGAACACCAGUGGCGAAGGCGACUCUUUGGCCUGUAACUGACGCUGAGGCGCGAAAGCGUGGGGAGCAAACAGGG
Molecule: ribosomal RNA, 254 nt
Filed under: uncultured bacterium
Lineage: Bacteria
Description: partial 16S ribosomal RNA
Rfam family: Bacterial small subunit ribosomal RNA
Source: RNAcentral